Molecule: ribosomal RNA, 287 nt
Filed under: Escherichia marmotae
Lineage: Bacteria; Pseudomonadati; Pseudomonadota; Gammaproteobacteria; Enterobacterales; Enterobacteriaceae
Description: partial 16S ribosomal RNA
Rfam family: Bacterial small subunit ribosomal RNA
Source: RNAcentral
CCAGCAGCCCGGGUAAUACGGAGGGUGCAAGCGUUAAUCGGAAAUUACUGGGCGUAAAGCGCACGCAGGCGGUUUGUUAAGUCAGAUGUGAAAUCCCCGGGCCCUUUUCUGGGAACUGCAUCUGAUACUGGCAAGCUUGAGUCUCGCAUAGGGGGGUAGAAUUCCAGGUGUAGCGGUGAAAUGCGUAGAGAUCUGGAGGAAUACCGGUGGCGAAGGCGGCCCCCUGGACGAAGACUGACGCUCAGGUGCGAAAGCGUGGGGAGCAAACAGGAUUAGAUACCCUGGUA